CCCCACUUUUCAGUCAGAUUUUUGGUACAACCUAUGUGUCUAUGAUGUGACUAACAACAGAGCGUAGAAAAGACCUACCGCAGGCAGUCCUGGUGCUCCCCAAACAUAGCAACCACAGCGUAUGCACUGUGGUUGCUGUGGAAACUCUCUAGCUGAUGCUGCUAUGGCUGGCUAGAGAGUAUAAAAACUGUUCAGAAGAUUG
Molecule: non-coding RNA, 202 nt
Organism: Pelobates cultripes (western spadefoot toad)
Lineage: Eukaryota; Metazoa; Chordata; Amphibia; Anura; Pelobatidae
Source: the annotation of a GenBank genome assembly